CCAAUACUCCCUCCGUCCCAAACUUCUUGUCUUAGAUUUGUCUAGAUACGGAAUCUUGUCUUAGAUUCCGUAUCUAGACAAAUCUAAGACAAGAAUUUUGGGAUGGAGGGAGUACUUU
Molecule: non-coding RNA, 118 nt
Organism: Triticum aestivum (bread wheat)
Lineage: Eukaryota; Viridiplantae; Streptophyta; Magnoliopsida; Poales; Poaceae
Source: Rfam